RNAcentral lists this long non-coding RNA (202 nucleotides) under Elaeis guineensis (African oil palm). RNAcentral's name for it is "long non-coding RNA (EGUI_LNC057531)". Lineage: Eukaryota; Viridiplantae; Streptophyta; Magnoliopsida; Arecales; Arecaceae. The record is from RNAcentral.
CUAUGAUCAGUAGGAAUAUAAUUUUUGAUGAGAAGAGUAUCUUGAAGAAGCUGGGAGUUACUGAUGAAGCUGAAAAGUUAGCACAGGACAGCAUUGGACAGCACUCGCAUACAGGUGAUUUACUAUCAACUUCUACCUCUAAUCAUGUUCAUUUUGAGGUAGAGAUGAGCAGGCAUGUUACCACACCUAUAAAGUACCAGCA